Molecule: microRNA precursor, 115 nt
Filed under: Theobroma cacao (cacao)
Lineage: Eukaryota; Viridiplantae; Streptophyta; Magnoliopsida; Malvales; Malvaceae
Description: MIR390 microRNA precursor family
Rfam family: MIR390 microRNA precursor family
Source: Rfam by way of RNAcentral
UAGAAGAGCCUGUUAAGCUCAGGAGGGAUAGCGCCAUUGAUGAUCUUGAAUCUUAUGGAUUGUAUAAUCUGAUCCUCAUUAGCGCUAUCCAUCCUGAGUUUCAUCGGUUCUUCUU